AAAUUACAAUUUUUCGACCAUUACGGAUUUUACCUGGUCUGAAGUUGGAGUGUAUUAUUUGACCAUUUUUUGGACAGGUGCGGGAGCUGCUGGCCAUUUGCCCUAGCAGGACACUGACAUUUUGGAACCAGUGUUGAACGGUGCAUCAGUUGCCAUCCUCACCAUCCUACAAGAUGACGAUGCUGAUACGUCUGUACGAGAACAUGCAGUUGUGUUGGAAGGGGACAUCGUGCUACAUAACAUUCCAGAUCUCUCUACUGCCCUGGCACACCUCUUUGGCCUUCUGUAUGCCCUCAACAUUGAUUAUCCAAAGCAGAUGAGUUUUACCUUUGAAGCAAUUCAGGCCAUCUUAUUUUGGCCUGGUCGGACAAUAUGAAGG
Molecule: long non-coding RNA, 379 nt
Organism: Oreochromis aureus
Lineage: Eukaryota; Metazoa; Chordata; Actinopteri; Cichliformes; Cichlidae
Source: Ensembl